GCCCGCUUGGCCCGGAGAGCCCAAGUUGGGGUCUUGGGCCGAAGCGUGGUUUGCUGGUGUGCGUAUCGCUUAGGGGGCAC
Molecule: transfer RNA, 80 nt
Filed under: Janthinobacterium lividum
Lineage: Bacteria; Pseudomonadati; Pseudomonadota; Betaproteobacteria; Burkholderiales; Oxalobacteraceae
Description: tRNA-Pro(ggg)
Source: RNAcentral